RNAcentral lists this ribosomal RNA (386 nucleotides) under Sphaeropleales sp. RNAcentral describes it as "partial small subunit ribosomal RNA". It matches the Rfam family "Eukaryotic small subunit ribosomal RNA", at positions 582 to 975 of the family's 1831-position model. The record is from RNAcentral. Lineage: Eukaryota; Viridiplantae; Chlorophyta; Chlorophyceae; Sphaeropleales.
AUUCCAGCUCCAAUAGCGUAUAUUUAAGUUGUUGCAGUUAAAAAGCUCGUAGUUGGAUUUCGGGUGGGUGCUAGCGGUCCGCCCUUGGUGAGUACUGCUAGUGCCCUCCUUUCUGUCGGGGACGGGCUCCUGGGCUUCACUGUCCGGGAUUCGGAGUCGACGAGGAUACUUUGAGAAAAUCGGGGUGUUUAAAGCAAGCUUAUGCUCUGAACGCUUUAGCAUGGAAUAUCAUGAUAGGACUCUGGCCUAUCUUGUUGGUCUGUAGGACCGGAGUAAUGAUUAAGAGGGACAGUCGGGGGCAUUCGUAUUUCAUUGUCAGAGGUGAAAUUCUUGGAUUUAUGAAAGACGAACCACAGCGAAAGCAUUUGCCAAGGAUGUUUUCAUUG